This 468-nucleotide ribosomal RNA is filed under the name uncultured bacterium. RNAcentral's name for it is "partial 16S ribosomal RNA". It matches the Rfam family "Bacterial small subunit ribosomal RNA", at positions 28 to 507 of the family's 1533-position model. The record is from RNAcentral.
GACGAACGCUGGCGGCGUGCUUAACACAUGCAAGUCGAACGGAAAGGCCCUGCUUUUGUGGGGUGCUCGAGUGGCGAACGGGUGAGUAACACGUGAGUAACCUGCCCUUGACUUUGGGAUAACUUCAGGAAACUGGGGCUAAUACCGGAUAGGAGCUCCUGCUGCAUGGUGGGGGUUGGAAAGUUUCGGCGGUUGGGGAUGGACUCGCGGCUUAUCAGCUUGUUGGUGGGGUAGUGGCUUACGAAGGCUUUGACGGGUAGCCGGCCUGAGAGGGUGACCGGCCACAUUGGGACUGCGGUACGGCCCAGUCUCCUACGGGCGGCAGCAGUGGGGAAUAUUGCACAAUGGGCGGAAGCCUGUUGCAGCAACGCCGCGUGCGGGAUGACGGCCUUCGGGUUGUAAACCGCUUUCACCUGUGACGAAGCUUGUGUGACGGUAAUGGGUAAAUAAGCACCGGCUAACUACGUG